Esox lucius (northern pike) is the source of this 321-nucleotide long non-coding RNA. RefSeq lists it as uncharacterized. NCBI's taxonomy places the organism in Eukaryota, Metazoa, Chordata, Actinopteri, Esociformes, Esocidae. The record is from RefSeq and is a predicted model, not a curated record. The transcript has 4 exons.
AAACCAUGAAGAAACUGAUCCUUGAUCUUCCAGACCACUAUCGCCACACUCUCAAGUUCCUGGUCUGUCAUCUGAAGACUGUGGCGGAUCAUGCCGAUAAGAACAAGAUGGAGCCCAGGAACCUGGCUCUUGUGUUCGGUCCCACUCUGGUGCGAACCUCUGAGGACAACAUGACUGACAUGGUCACCCACAUGCCAGACCGUUACAAGAUCAUUGAAACGCUCAUCCUGCAUCACGACUGGUUCUUCAGCGAUGGAGAGCUGAGUGAGGAUGAGAAGGUAUGUGGAAAGGAAAGAAAUUAUACAUUUGACAAACAUUUUC